GAUGAACGCUGGCGGCGUGCCUAAUACAUGCAAGUCGAGCGAAUGGAUUGAGAGCUUGCUCUUAUGAAGUUAGCGGCGGACGGGUGAGUAACACGUGGGUAACCUGCCCAUAAGACUGGGAUAACUCCGGGAAACCGGGGCUAAUACCGGAUAACAUUUUGAACCGCAUGGUUCGAAAUUGAAAGGUGGCUUCGGCUGUCACUUAUGGAUGGACCCGCGUCGCAUUAGCUAGUUGGUGAGGUAACGGCUCACCAAGGCAACGAUGCGUAGCCGACCUGAGAGGGUGAUCGGCCACACUGGGACUGAGACACGGCCCAGACUCCUACGGGAGGCAGCAGUAGGGAAUCUUCCGCAAUGGACGAAAGUCUGACGGAGCAACGCCGCGUGAGUGAUGAAGGCUUUCGGGUCGUAAAACUCUGUUGUUGGGGAAGAACAAGUGCUAGUUGAAUAAGCUGGCACCUUGACGGUACCUAACCAGAAAGCCACGGCUAACUACGUGCCAGCCGCCGCGGUAA
Molecule: ribosomal RNA, 515 nt
Filed under: uncultured bacterium
Lineage: Bacteria
Description: partial 16S ribosomal RNA
Rfam family: Bacterial small subunit ribosomal RNA
Source: RNAcentral